Eleginops maclovinus (Patagonian blennie) is the source of this 472-nucleotide long non-coding RNA. RefSeq lists it as uncharacterized. The transcript has 3 exons. The record is from RefSeq and is a predicted model, not a curated record. NCBI's taxonomy places the organism in Eukaryota, Metazoa, Chordata, Actinopteri, Perciformes, Eleginopidae.
CGUUUUUUGUGGUGUUUUGUGUUCUUAGCAUUUCGCUUCUGCAGCACUGGGACACAAAUUCUCCGCUGAUAUGAGCAGCAAUCAAACGGAAUGUCUUGGAAAAAGGUCAACCUCUCCGAGCGUCACGACAUCAUCACCGUGAAAAGAUGUCGAGUCUCUCCCCGAGCUGCUCCACCUUCCUCCUGUACCUGCCUGCGAGGCUCCGCCACGGCUCUGUGUGUUUGUCGACUUAAUGCUGGAGCAGGGCUCUAAUCUGCCAUUAAGACAGGGGGGAAGAGAGGCUUACUGGUGUUUCUCUUACAAAUCCACUUCCAGAAAACCCCCGGCAGAGAUGCUGCACUGCAUCCCAAAGGAUUAGUGAUAGGGCUGCCACCGACAGGAGGAGGGGAGAAAAGGGUCAAAAAGAAAGUGAAAGUGAUAGAAUAACAGAGGUGUGGGGAUGGAUGGAAGGCUUCAGGAACAGCGGCCAAGC